AGGACGAACGCUGGCGGCGUGCUUAACACAUGCAAGUCGAGCGGAAAGGCCCUUCGGGGUACUCGAGCGGCGAACGGGUGAGUAACACGUGAGCAACCUGCCCCUGGCUCUGGGAUAGCUCCGGGAAACCGGGAUUAAUACCGGAUAUGACCUUCCGUUGCAUGACGGCGGGUGGAAAGUUUUUCGGCUGGGGAUGGGCUCGCGGCCUAUCAGCUUGUUGGUGGGGUAAUGGCCCACCAAGGCAACGACGGGUA
RNAcentral lists this ribosomal RNA (254 nucleotides) under uncultured bacterium. RNAcentral describes it as "partial small subunit ribosomal RNA". It matches the Rfam family "Bacterial small subunit ribosomal RNA", at positions 26 to 285 of the family's 1533-position model. The record is from RNAcentral.